This 651-nucleotide ribosomal RNA is filed under the name uncultured marine group I thaumarchaeote. Its description in RNAcentral is "SSU rRNA". It matches the Rfam family "Archaeal small subunit ribosomal RNA", at positions 256 to 906 of the family's 1478-position model. The record is from RNAcentral. Lineage: Archaea; Thermoproteati; Nitrososphaerota.
GGCGAUUACAGGUACGGGCUUUGAGAGGAGAAGCCCGGAGAUGGGUAAUGAGACACGGACCCAGGCCCUAUGGGGCGCAGCAGGCGAGAAAACUUUGCAAUGUGCGAAAGCACGACAAGGUUAAUUCGAGUGAUUUUUGCUAAAGAAAUCUUUUGCCAGUCAUAAAACCAAUGGUGAAUAAGGGGUGGGCAAGUUUUGGUGUCAGCCGCCGCGGUAAAACCAGCACCUCAAGUGGUCAGGAUGAUUAUUGGGCCUAAAGCAUCCGUAGCCGGCUUUGUAAGUUUUCGGUUAAAUCCAUGUGCUCAACGCAUGGGCUGCCGAAAAUACUGCAUGGCUAGGGAGUGGGAGAGGUAGACGGUACUCAGUAGGAAGGGGUAAAAUCCUUUGAUUUAUUGAUGACCACCUGUGGGGAAGGCGGUUUACCAGAACACGUUCGACGGUGAGGGAUGAAAGCUGGGGGGAGCAAACCGGAUUAGAUACCCGGGUAGUCCCAGCUGUAAACGAUGCAGACUUGAUGAUGCAUUGGCAUAAUAGCCAGUGCAGUGUCGCAGGGAAGCCGUUAAGUCUGCCGCCUGGGAAGUACGUACGCAAGUAUGAAACUUAAAGGAAUUGGCGGGGGAGCACCACAAGGGGUGAAGCCUGCGGUUCAAU